RNAcentral lists this unclassified non-coding RNA (330 nucleotides) under Hevea brasiliensis (rubber tree). The record is from RNAcentral. Lineage: Eukaryota; Viridiplantae; Streptophyta; Magnoliopsida; Malpighiales; Euphorbiaceae.
GGCCCUUUAGACUUUUUUUUUUCUGUUUUUUCAAAGCCAGAAUUCCAUUACUACCCAAGGAGGCAUAAAGAAUAAUACCAAGUUCGUUUGGGUAAAGGAUUACAAUAAAAGGGAGGUUUCCAUGAGACACUUUCGAGCCAAGCUACGCGCUGCCUUGUUGUAAUUCCUAUUGACAUACUUGAAGCUAACAGAGCGUAACUGUUGGGAUAAAUGCAAGAUAUCUUUCACAAUUCCUUCAAUCGAAAGGAAGGAGGAAAUACCCUGAACAGCUUGCAUCACCGAGAGUCACCUUCAACUAUGAUCGAAUUAAACUUCCUCCUACUAGCUAAU